Molecule: ribosomal RNA, 611 nt
Filed under: Salmonella enterica
Lineage: Bacteria; Pseudomonadati; Pseudomonadota; Gammaproteobacteria; Enterobacterales; Enterobacteriaceae
Description: partial 23S ribosomal RNA
Rfam family: Bacterial large subunit ribosomal RNA
Source: RNAcentral
CACAGGUUUACCUGUGUGACUGCGUACCUUUUGUAUAAUGGGUCAGCGACUUAUAUUCUGUAGCAAGGUUAACCGAAUAGGGGAGCCGGAGGGAAACCGAGUCUUAAUUGGGCGUUAAGUUGCAGGGUAUAGACCCGAAACCCGGUGAUCUAGCCAUGGGCAGGUUGAAGGUUGGGUAACACUAACUGGAGGACCGAACCGACUAAUGUUGAAAAAUUAGCGGAUGACCUGUGGCUGGGGGUGAAAGGCCAAUCAAACCGGGAGAUAGCUGGUUCUCCCCGAAAGCUAUUUAGGUAGCGCCUCGUGAAUUCAUCUCCGGGGGUAGAGCACUGUUUCGGCUAGGGGGCCAUCCCGGCUUACCAACCCGAUGCAAACUGCGAAUACCGGAGAAUGUUAUCACGGGAGACACACGGCGGGUGCUAACGUCCGUCGUGAAGAGGGAAACAACCCAGACCGCCAGCUAAGGUCCCAAAGUCAUGGUUAAGUGGGAAACGAUGUGGGAAGGCCCAGACAGCCAGGAUGUUGGCUUAGAAGCAGCCAUCAUUUAAAGAAAGCGUAAUAGCUCACUGGUCGAGUCGGCCUGCGCGGAAGAUGUAACGGGGCUAAACCAU